This 452-nucleotide non-coding RNA is filed under the name Pan troglodytes (chimpanzee). Lineage: Eukaryota; Metazoa; Chordata; Mammalia; Primates; Hominidae. The record is from RNAcentral.
GCGCGUCGAAGACAGCAGCGCCCACCAGCAGAUGCAGAGAACCCAAAGCCCUGCAGGAUGGCAAAGCUGCAACAUGGAAGUCACCCGGAUCACCACGUAAAGGAAAUCUCUCCAACCAGGAACAAAUACCUGCCUUGCAAUAUUAGGUGGCCACCAGACUUUCUCUGCUUGUAUCCUCCCAGGACCACAGAACUCAUCGCAUCCCAAGGCAGCCUAUUCCAUCAUGGAUGAGCUCAAAGUGUUUGAAAGUUCUGCUUUAUCAAGUGAGCCAAACUUCCUCCCUCAGGACCAUCCACUCCAGGGCCCAGUUAUUCUACUGGAGGAGUGAGGGUAAAGCCAUCACCAGGACAACCUUGGUGACAGGCUGGACUGGCAGCCAGCUUUUGGGGAUGACUUCAGGGAACCCUGAAUAGCCAUGGGAACCAAAUGUGUUACUCCUCUGAUGCCUAUAA